RNAcentral lists this ribosomal RNA (431 nucleotides) under uncultured eukaryote. RNAcentral's name for it is "bacterial SSU rRNA". It matches the Rfam family "Eukaryotic small subunit ribosomal RNA", at positions 592 to 1016 of the family's 1831-position model. The record is from RNAcentral.
CAAUAGCGUAUAUUAAAGUUGUUGCGGUUAAAAAGCUCGUAGUUGGAUUUCUGCUGAGAGUGGCCGGUCUACCUUUUGGGUAAGUAUCUGGAUUACUCUUGGCAUCCUCUCGGAUACCGUCUCUGCGCUUGAUUGCGUGGUGCGGGGUUCGAGACUUUUACUUUGAGGAAAUUAGAGUGUUCACGGCAGGCAUACGCCUUGAAUAUAUUAGCAUGGAAUAAUACUAUAGGAUUUCGGUUCUAUUUUGUUGGUUUCUAGAGCUGAGAUAAUGAUUAAUAGGGACAAUUGGGGCGAUUCGUAUUGACGAGUCAGAGGUGAAAUUACUUGGAUUUCGUUCACGACGAACUAACUGCGAAAGACAUUUGUCCAAGGAUGUUUUCUAUUGAUCAAGAAACGAAAAGUAAAGGGGAGUCGAAGAACGAUCAGAUACC